Molecule: transfer RNA, 65 nt
Filed under: Agrilus sp. AGR01
Lineage: Eukaryota; Metazoa; Arthropoda; Insecta; Coleoptera; Buprestidae
Description: tRNA-Pro
Source: RNAcentral
CAGGAGAUAGUUUAAUUUAAAAUUUUAAUUUUGGAGAUUAAUGAUAAGAGUAAUCUUUUUCCUGA